Long non-coding RNA from Zeugodacus cucurbitae (melon fly), 3731 nucleotides. RefSeq lists it as uncharacterized. Lineage: Eukaryota; Metazoa; Arthropoda; Insecta; Diptera; Tephritidae. The transcript has 4 exons. The record is from RefSeq and is a predicted model, not a curated record.
AGCCGCAGCACCACCAGCUAUCGUUAAAGAGCUCAGCGUUGUCACAACGCAUAUUAAAUCUACUUCAGAAGCUGCAGUUCGUUUACAACGUAGUGACUUCCUCACUGCUUGUAUAACAUAGCUAUUUUGUAUAUGAAAAAGCAAUUAACCUGCUCAGUCUAUUCACUCUUUCUCCAAUGCUUUGGAACAUCACAAGGCCCAAUGGUAUCCCCACAAUGGCAUAACACAUUGUGAAGAGUUUGCCACCGAUUGUGCUUGGCGUGGAAUGACCGUAACCGAUAGUUGUCAACACUGUUGUUGCAUAGUAAAAUGCACCAGUGAAUUUCCAUUGUUGACCAGCUUUAUGUGGUUCUGACUUAAGCACAACUGUCUCCAUCACUUUGAAGUCCUCUUGUGAAAUAUUGUAUCUUCGUAUUAUCAUAUCUUCCACAGCUAAAAUGGAAUAAGCAGAAAUGAGCUAUUACAAAUAUCUCCUCGAUUUGAAAAUAUAUUCCAAGGUUCGUUUUUACCCUGAGACGGCAAAUUUGGAUUUGAACUGGCCGAUUCAUUUUGAAAUAGUAGGUGAAAACCCGAAAAUGAGAAAGAAAAACAAAAAAAACAGAUUCCGGUCUACGAAAUAAUGUUCCACAGGUUUGUUUUAAUGAUCUUUCGUUUAGCAACAGUUUUGUAGAUAUGAAUAAUUGAGCUCGUUCGAAGGAAUUCAAUCAAAUAAUUAAGAAAUAAGUUCAUGUCUAGUAGAACUCGCCAUUUACAAGGAGGCGAGGGAACAUUCGGGAAACAUAUGAACCGAUUUCAUACAUUUUUAUCAGCACGAAUUGUUAUGUCUAAAAUGCUCACAUAAUAUCAUUACAAUAUUAAUAUAUUCGGAAUAAAGACCACCGGAUCAUUUCCUUAAAAUUUCAAGCAGUUUAAAAUCGAGCACAAGCACAGAAGUUUUAAUAUUGGUAUCUGAGAUUUUGAAAAGAUAUACUUCGAUUUCGAACAUUUCUGGAAGGAAGUGGACACAUAUCCGAAGGAUUGGGUAUCCCAAGUUCUAUUUCAAUAUAUUCAUUGUAUGGUAUCUGAGGUUUUGAAAAGAUAUACUUCGAUUUCGAACAUUUCUGGAAGGAAGUGGACACAUAUCCGAAGGAUUGGGUAUCCCAGGUUCUAUUUCAAUAUAUUCAUUGAUGCUUUAUUUUUUAUCUAAUAUAGAGUGAAAUGUUAUCUGCUGGAUGAAUGUACAUACUAAAUAUUUUGAGUGCACGUGAAAGCAACAAAAUCGGUCAAAGUGCAGGCUGAAUACGCUUCCAAUUACUAUUCAAGAUGAUUUUAUAAGAUGUUAUGUACUUUAAUAUUUACCACCGAUAUUCAUUAACAAUUGACGUCAACACAGUCAAAUGACAAAAUCUGUUGGAAAGCCACUCGUUUGAAAGUGCACACGAACACCAUAAACAUGCCAAACAUGUAAGUGACUAGCCGGAUGCAUAGUUGUAAAUAAAUGUGUGUCUUUGUGUACGUAACCCUCUCAUGCAUGAGAGCACCUUAGCACAAGCACAUACUUUAUUUAAUGUGCUUACAGAAGUGGGCCACUUGUGAUUGUCGUCUUGCCGAUUUAUUUUUAUAUAUGUAUAUGUAAACACAUGUUUGUACAUACAUAUGUAAAUAGAUAGUCGCGUUUUCCUACAGAUGAGCACACUUACAGUUAUUUUGUUUAAAUAUUGAUACUCACCUUGCAGUGCUUCCCAGCGCCGCUUUUCCGUUUCCGAUUCGAGCGAGUCAAAUACAGCAGCUCCAACUAGUAAAUAUGUAAAUGUGCACACGAUCAAGGAUAUCGUGCGAACAUUUUGUUUCUUCAUUCUUCAUUUAGGCGAAGUUUUAUUUUUAGUUUCAUUAUCAUUGCGAUUAUAAUGAAUACUUGUAUUUUCUAUUUGAAUAUUGAAAAUACAUCACUUGACACUGUUGAAUCGCUAAGCGCUAAAUACAUUCAAACUCCGUUGCAAUUAUACAUAUAUGCAUAGAUAUCAGUUUAUCAGUUUAUAGGUCUGUACAUUAUUGUAUUGGAAUUUAUGAAAUUGAUCGUGAUCUUAUUAUCCACACGUUUUUAACAAUUAUAUUGUUGUCGUUAGAUGUAACAAUUUUCCAAUAUUUUGGCAUUUAUAAAGGAGUUGUCUUAGCCGUGUGCUUAAUAUGUAGGUUUUGAAAAUUUUUUAUUAUUUUUUCCACUUUUUGUUUUUUUUUUUUUAAGUACGAAUCUUUUGCUUAUGCACUAAAUUCUUAACUAUAUAAAUUAACAUUUCAUCACUUUAGUUUUUAAUACACAGUUAUUCGAAUUUUUAUCUAAAAAUAAAAGAAAUCGUGUAUGAAUACGUUUGAUCUCUUUCCUCUUCAUGCGAAAAGUCAUAUUCUCUCAUAAAACUCAAGAUGUAAUAUGAUAAACUCCCGUGUAUCUUUUUUUCUAUUUCCAAAACUCAAAUGUUGAUUUUAGAAAGUCGUUCCCGUUCCCACGACGGUUUUUCUGCAACCGAAAUGGAAACUGAUCUUUACCCAGACAAGAGCUAUCAAUCCGAAUAUUUUCUACCGCUACAACAACAAAAAAAAAAACAUAAAAUAAUUUCACCGAAAGGCCUAAAAUUCGUUUCAAAUGAAGAUUCAUAUUUGUAGUCUUCCAAAAGUAUGACAACAGUCAAUGGAUUUCAAAGAAACUCGCUUGCGCGGGCAAAAUGUUACCAGUAUCUCAUUAACAUAGACGAUGGCAUUAAGAAUUUCAGAAGUAAUCUUAAUCUCGCAUUUGACUUUAAAAAAUCGACAGUGGAAAUGUAAGUUUCGUAGAACGGUCGCUCAGAAGGAUAAUGAAACUAUUUACGUUUGCACUCUAUGAUGACCUUGUGUUAUUUUUAACCGAACACGAGGUUAUAAUCUUACAAAACACAAGUAAAUUUACGUCACAUUCAUUCGAAUCGCGUAUGCAACUGUAUAACGGCGACUUUACCACCACGCAGCAAAGCUUCGAAAAGUUUCAACACAGUUGAGCGUCGUGUUUGUUGGUAUUUUAGUGACGAUAUCAUUAUUGUUAAUCUUGGUGGCAAAAGGCACAGUACUGGUCGUAUCGAAAUCAUGUAUCCUUGCUGUAUAAGGACCAUUUAAUUAUGCACAUAUGUAUGUAUGUAUGUAAGAUAAAUUUAAAUACACACAAGGAUUAUUAUUAAGCAGACUUAACGAAAGUUAACCACUUUUGUUGUUGUUAAAUAUAUUCAAGUAACAGUUUUGCGAUAAAUCCUUUGUAAAAAACACCCAACUACUGAAUGCACAUGUUUUGAACAAACUUUGCCACAUAUUUAUUACACGAGCUACUCCACCGAAAGUCAGCUUGCUCUGCUUUGUGCUUGUCUGGCUACAGUCAAAUAAACAUAUUUGAAAUCGUAUACUUGUGAACUUUAUUGCAAUAAACGUCUUUGAGCAAAGGACUCACGAAGGCUGUGUGCCGACAAUUGCAUCAUGUACUUGAUGGCUGAACAAAUGAUGAAAAGUUACUCUCUUGCCGCUGAUUUGAGAGCAAAAUCUCUGCUCUCAGUACAUCCUAGUGAAUUUGAUUUGUAUUUCGAAGUGACAGGGAUAACUGGAUGUACAUGGCAUUUAUAUAGCGGCACAAUAACAACAAUACUUGCUUUUACAUAUACAUAUAUAUAUAUAUAUAUAUAUAUAUAUAUAUAGAAAUGCAUAUAUAAUAAAAGAAGCAUAUGUAUUUUAAGGAA